RNAcentral lists this ribosomal RNA (30 nucleotides) under Heligmosomoides polygyrus bakeri. RNAcentral's name for it is "partial 18S ribosomal RNA". The record is from RNAcentral. Lineage: Eukaryota; Metazoa; Nematoda; Chromadorea; Rhabditida; Heligmosomidae.
UCUGUAGGUGAACCUGCAGAUGGAUCAUCG